Non-coding RNA from Ciona intestinalis (vase tunicate), 974 nucleotides. The record is from RefSeq and is a predicted model, not a curated record. Lineage: Eukaryota; Metazoa; Chordata; Ascidiacea; Phlebobranchia; Cionidae.
AUUUUAGAACCUGGUAUGUGACGUCACAGAGGAUCAAGCGGACCAUGACGCAAAGAUGGAAUGAAGAAAAGUCAGCGAUUAAAGCUGCCGAAGAAAAGCGCAAGACGAAGAACAAAGACGAAGACGCCAAUAUAAGGAUGCCGGUUUGAGGUGUUUGUAAGCUUUAGUGUGUAUAGACCUAUUAUAAGUGUGUAUAGGUUUAGUAUAGGUGUGUACGCGCGAAGAAAGAAGAUCAAAGACGCCGAUAAAGGAUGUCGGUUUCAGGUGGUUUAGGUUUAGUGUUUAAGUAUGAGUGUGUUUGUGUGUGCGUGUUAGCUGGUGCACUCUUACAGUGUUGCCAGCUAUUUUUUUGCUGGAUCUAAUGUUGCCAGCUAUGUCCCCAAGCACUUUUCAGUGCUUCUACAUGUCUUUGAAAUAAAUGCAAAGGAAUUGUUGCAACAAUCUUACUUGAUAAAGAUUAGCAUCUACUGUAGUGUUCAUUCCUUCCGAGUGUUUUACCUGUCGGGACUUGAAUCUUACAGCGGUUUUGUAUUGUCUCGGUUUGCUUUGCGAGAACUCUGUUUUGGUACACAUAUACUCGAGUAAUAUCAACGCGCAGUAAAAUAUACAAACCAAUAAUUUUAAUUCCCUUUGUUAAUACUUUAUUCAUUUAAAAUUUAAUAUAUAAAGUCCCCACAUCAUUAAAGUUAAAUUUAAUUUAACACAACAUCGCGUAUGGCAUAAUUGGGACGAUGGCCACGUCACAAUUACGCUUUACGUCGAUGCGGUGGGUCAGCAACGUCAUGACCCUGCGUUCGGUGCGGUUACGUCACGGUCGGUUUAGUUACGUUACAGCUGCGGGUUUGUUACGUGGACGUCGCCGCUUAGCGGUAUACGUAACAGCCACAGUAUGUCGUAACGGUCGAUGCGGUGCGUAACAGCCGGACGAUAUUAUAUUGUGUGAAGAUACGACGAGAGUAUCGCGGUACCAAGAU